UACCAAGUUUAUUCUGUGAGAUA
RNAcentral lists this non-coding RNA (23 nucleotides) under Mus musculus (house mouse). Lineage: Eukaryota; Metazoa; Chordata; Mammalia; Rodentia; Muridae. The record is from RNAcentral.